UAAACGUCCCAGUUCGGACUGUAGUCUGCAACCCGACUACACGAAGCCGGAAUCGCUAGUAAUCGCGAAUCAGAAUGUCGCGGUGAAUACGUUCCCGGGUCUUGUACACACCGCCCGUCACACCAUGGGAGUCGGAAAUGCCCGAAGUCAGUGACCCAACCGCAAGGAGGGAGCUGCCGAAGGCAGGUCCGGUAACUGGGGUGAAGUCGUAACAAGGUAAC
Molecule: ribosomal RNA, 221 nt
Filed under: uncultured bacterium
Lineage: Bacteria
Description: partial 16S ribosomal RNA
Rfam family: Bacterial small subunit ribosomal RNA
Source: RNAcentral